Equus asinus (donkey) is the source of this 2550-nucleotide long non-coding RNA. NCBI's taxonomy places the organism in Eukaryota, Metazoa, Chordata, Mammalia, Perissodactyla, Equidae. The record is from Ensembl.
CCAGCAUGCCAUGAAAAGAUAGUGGUAACCAGCAAAGGGGAGUGGUAUUUUAAUUGCAGGAUCAGCAGCAUCAGCAACACCUGGGCACCUGUUAGAAAUGCGGAAACCCAAGGCCCAGCCCAGACCCAUCAAACCAGAAUCUGCCUUGUGUAUAUAUGCCAUACACAAAAUAUUUCCAAGCAUGGCUGACAAUAGAGAGAGACUCUUACAGGGCAGAUGUGGAUGAAGGUAUAGACAUUAGUGACUUGCCUGCCCUGAUGGGUUCCGACAACGAUGAGAAGUGAAUAGAUGACCCUCUUCCUGUCUCUCCUACACUCCAGUCUGCUGUACCUCCCAGCACCUCAACCUCCAAUAUUCAGCCUAAGCUGCCGCCAUCACCACCACCACCUCAGCCUUCCAGUGUGCUCAGUGUCUUCCCGAUUCUGGUUGUUACCUCACACGCAUGUGUUGAUGGAUCGCCAGCUCGAUGUUGAAGUGAGACUGCCAGUUCAUCUCCUUAGAUCUCCCGGUGCAGGGCUUUCCUCUCAGUAUUUUGACCUGCAAAAUACUUGCUGCCUUGAUCUCCUUGGACUCAACUUUGUUUCAAGUUAGGGAGUCCAUGAAUUCUGCCUGGGUUCGCUGUCCCUGGGGCAGGAUCUGGAAACUCUCUCAAGGCAAUGAGUUGUGGCAGUUGGAGAGUUCACAUUGUUUCCAGUCUCUCAGGAUGACCGCUGUACAGUUUCAUGUCUGGAAAGUCUUUGUUUCAUUUAUUUUGUUUGUUUGUGGAUUGUUUCAGGUGGGAGAGUAAAUCUGAUCACUGCUACUUCAUCUUGGCCAAGAAUGGAAGAGUCUGAAUUUUAAUUUUAUUUACAUAUAAUUAAUUUAUACUUAAAUUCCUAUAGCCCCUAUGAUGAGUGUCAUCUGAACUUCACAACACAGCUUUAGAUGCUUUGAGAGUGCUCUGUAGUCUAAGUCUGACCACACAGCAGGUUUUAUCUUCCUCCCGGGAAGUCACAGGGUGAAAGUCCCUCCGUAAAGGCUGCUGAAAUGAGCAUUUCCCAUACUUUUUUUGGCUCUAGAAACAUUUCAUUAUGUGAUAGCUGUUAACAUCCUGUGAAGUUCUGUUUUGCAGAAGAGUUUUGGAAGAUGCUCCUUAGAGAAGUUAGUUUAUAUUUAACACAUUUGCUGUCAGUGUCAAGAGAAGAAUUUCCCCAAGAUAUUAGGACCAGAAUUCCUAAUUUUACUUCUUUUGUGUGAGUCAAGAUUUUUUCGGAAUCCUUCUCUCUGCAGGAAUAGCUUUCUUGAUUGACAGAAUGAAAAAUAAUAAAGACAGCAUCUUUCAUGGGCCCUGAGAUGCAUGUUGUAUAUCUUCUGUAUUUUAUGUAUUUUCUGAUGAAGGAAUGAAUAAAUGUUAUUUUUUCAUUAAAAAUAUUUUCUAGAUAUGUCCACUGAGAAGGAUUCAAAACAUUGCCUAGCCAAGUAUCAAUGGGUUACCCUAGUGUCUAUACUAUGGCACCCAAAUUAUAAUUUUCACUAAAAGUAAAUAAGAUAAAUUAAAGAUGAAAAUAAUUACAGAUAUGGAGAAAGCAAUUUAGAAGGUGAGAGUGAAAUAUCUUGUUAUACAAUAUAGCAAGAAAACUGUCAAAAACAGCUAAUAUAUUAAGACUGUAUUAACUUAGAUGCUACAGGGAAUCAGGAGCCUACUUCACAUGGCUCCUACUGGUCAAUGAUGGCUCAACUUGAGGAUUCAUAAGCUUAAUGACUGCAAUGAAUUUAAACAUAUCACAUAAUUUUUUAAGUAAUGAUUUCAUAAUGACACCAAAAUAAUUAAAAGAUAAUUGAUCACCACUGGAUGUUGGUUGGGAAGGAAAUCAUUCUUUUUAAUUCUUUCUUAACAACAAUAAACAUUAAAAUACCACAGAACAACUAAAGAGUAGAUGAAAUAAAUUUCUCUUUCAAUUUCCUUCAGCUAAUAAAUGAAGAAGAAAUGACUUUUGUAAUCCCCAAUGCAUUAUUGUGGGCUGAUAACAUCAAUAGAAAGAGAUAAUCAAAAAAUAAUGGUCUUCUGAAGGAAGAACAAAAUACCGUCUAUGAAAUAGACAUGUUAAAACACUAAGUUCAAAUUUCAUAAUGCCUCCUAGCUCUAACUACCCAUUUACACAAAAUACAGAUGACUUAUAAUCAUAGUGAACACCUAGUGAUGCAAUGAGAAAACUCCAGACUAUGGGAAACAUUGUAGGGCCAAUAACCCAUUUUCACCAAGAAAAGAAUUAAUAAGAUGAAAUAAAGAUUUAGAGGGGUAACCUAUACAUUAAAAGAGAUUGAAAAGAUACAUCAACCCAUCACAAUGUGGGAACUUUUAUGGAUUCUGAUUCAAACAAAUAGUGUUUGCAGCUGAAAGUAUUGAAGAUAUUAUUGAUUGGCUAUUUGAUGAUAUUAAGAAUUUAUUGUCACAUUUUUAGGCUUUAAAUUAGUGUUUUGGUUGUGUAGAUGGAAAAGUAUUAUCUUUAAGAGAUUUAUUUAAGUAUUAUCAAUUGAAUUACAAACUGUGAAGUCCUUAAAAAUGAUAUA